AACGAACGCUGGCGGCAGGCUUAACACAUGCAAGUUGAACGGGAUUUGUGGGGUGCUUGCACCAUAUAAUGAGAGUAGCGCACUGGUGAGUAACACGUGGGAACAUACCUUAAAGAGUGGAAUAACCAUUGGAAACGAUGGAUAAUACCGCAUACGCCCUGAGGGGGAAAGAUUUAUCGCUCUAAGAUUGGCCCGCCGAAGAUUAGGUAGUUGGUGGGGUAAAUGCCUACCAAGCCUACGACCUAUAGCUCUUCUGAGAGGACGAUCAGCUACGCUGGAACUGGGCCAGGGUCCAGACUCCUGCGGGAGGCAGCAGUGGGGAAUAUUGGACAAUGGGCGAAAGCCUGAUCCAGCAACGCCGCGUGAGGGAUGGCGGACUUCGGGUUGUAAACCUCUUUCAGCAGGGACGAAGCGCAAGUGACGGUACCUGCAGAAGAAGCACCGGCCAACUACGUGCCAGCCGCCGCCGUAA
RNAcentral lists this ribosomal RNA (472 nucleotides) under uncultured bacterium. RNAcentral's name for it is "partial 16S ribosomal RNA". It matches the Rfam family "Bacterial small subunit ribosomal RNA", at positions 29 to 523 of the family's 1533-position model. The record is from RNAcentral.